RNAcentral lists this long non-coding RNA (400 nucleotides) under Oryza brachyantha (malo sina). RNAcentral describes it as "long non-coding RNA (OBRA_LNC002948)". Lineage: Eukaryota; Viridiplantae; Streptophyta; Magnoliopsida; Poales; Poaceae. The record is from RNAcentral.
GAGUUCUUCAACUACAACUCUCUACUAGAGUUGGAGAUAAAUGGGAAUUAUGUCAGUUCUACAAAUCAAUUCUGCUUUCGCAAUGCUAGUUUCAACCCAGCCUCCGUUGUUCACUGUGCCACGAGAUCAUGUUAGAGGUAUUUCAGGUUUCACAAUGUUAAUUACAGCACUCCCAAUGCUUCCCACACCCAUGUUUUCUACCAACAUUUACAAAUGGGGCAACCUACAUUCUUUAUCUCUGAUCUUUUACAUGUUAUGGUAGGGAGGUGUAUAUCUUAUAGGCAACAUUCUCAACUGAAUGAAUGAAACUAUUUAGAUUUGAUGUUUUCAGACAUGAGUAUGAUUCUGUAUAAUAAUAAUGGACGAACUGAAAUAUUGUUUCACACAGCUCCACACAUGA